AGUGAACGCUGGCGGUAGGCCUAACACAUGCAAGUCGAACGGCAGCACCGUAAGAGCUUGCUCUUACGGGUGGCGAGUGGCGGACGGGUGAGGAAUACAUCGUAAUCUACUUUUUCGUGGGGGAUAACGUAGGGAAACUUACGCUAAUACCGCAUACGACCUACGGGUGAAAGCAGGGGAUCUUCGGACCUUGCGCGAUUGAAUGAGCCGAUGUCGGAGUAGCUAGUUGGCGGGGUAAUGGCCAACCAAGGCGACGAUCCGUAGCUGGUCUGAGAGGAGGAUCAGCCACACUGGAACUGGGACACGGUCCAGACUCCUACGGGAAGCAGCAGUGGGGAAUACUGGACAAUGGGCGCAAGCCUGAUCCAGCCAUACGGCGUGGGUUGAGAAGGCCUUCGGGUUGUAAAGCCGUUUUGUUGGGAGAGAAAAGCAGCAGGUUAAUACCCCGCUGUUCUGACGGUACCCGAAGAAUAAGCACCGGCUAACUUCGUG
RNAcentral lists this ribosomal RNA (492 nucleotides) under uncultured bacterium. Its description in RNAcentral is "partial 16S ribosomal RNA". It matches the Rfam family "Bacterial small subunit ribosomal RNA", at positions 29 to 507 of the family's 1533-position model. The record is from RNAcentral.